UUCACAGUCUUUCUUACAAGGAGCCGUGGGACCCAGCAGAAAAGGUGACCAAGACGGUCUAAGGUGGGAAAUUCCAAGUCUGAGUCCACCACUCCAGCUAAGUAGCACCUGGAGAUAGAAGCCACCGCAUUGUGCGCUGAAGAGGCUAGAGCCCUGGACCCAAUCAGGAGCCCAGAGCAGCUGACAGACCUAGGGUCAUUGAUGAUCAGUUAAGAUCAAAUAUGAAAUCGAUCAUGCUGGAGUAGACAGAACUCAGUGUUCCCAGGACAUUAUAGGGCAGGGAAGUCUGGAGACCGGCAGCAGGCGGACACACAGACUCAGACACACAGAGGCUAUGUGAAGC
Non-coding RNA from Arvicanthis niloticus (Nile rat), 343 nucleotides. Lineage: Eukaryota; Metazoa; Chordata; Mammalia; Rodentia; Muridae. The record is from RefSeq and is a predicted model, not a curated record.